RNAcentral lists this ribosomal RNA (216 nucleotides) under Glomeromycotina sp. RNAcentral describes it as "partial small subunit ribosomal RNA". The stretch from base 40 to 216 matches the Rfam family "Eukaryotic small subunit ribosomal RNA", at positions 686 to 864 of the family's 1831-position model. The record is from RNAcentral. Lineage: Eukaryota; Fungi; Glomeromycota.
GGGUCAGUAGGUUGGUCGUGCCACCGGUACGUACUGGUCUCACUGAUUCCUCCUUCCUGAAGAACCGUAAUGCCAUUAAUUUGGUGUUGCGGGGAGACAGGAUUGUUACUUUGAAAAAAUUAGAGUGUUUAAAGCAAGCUGACGCUUGAAUACAUUAGCAUGGAAUAAUGAAAUAGGACGAUCGAUCCUAUUUUGUUGGUUUCUAGGAUUGACGUA